Molecule: non-coding RNA, 736 nt
Organism: Linepithema humile (Argentine ant)
Lineage: Eukaryota; Metazoa; Arthropoda; Insecta; Hymenoptera; Formicidae
Source: RefSeq, a predicted model, not a curated record
GCUUAAAGGAGGUUGCAUUGCUUACCCGCAACGUAGGAUAGCCAAAGUCUGUGGGGUCGCCACGCCAGGAUGCAGGACAAUGUACGAGAGAUGUCUUUGAGAAUUUGGAUAUAUGAGAACUGACGUUGACCGAAGGAAAUACGCUUUUGGUAAAAAUCCAAUCCAAUCCAAUCAAAAUCUUGGACGAGCUCGAGAACUGGGAUAUCAAAGGUGGAUUUGAAAUUUUUUCGAGAAUAUAAAGGACUGCUAUUCGCGCUGUAAUUUUCGUAAAUGUUCCAUGAGGAGUGAUUUGAAAGACAUGAUGGAAGAUGUCCGGAGGGACAAGCCACUGUCUUCCGCUGUGUUAUAACGAUUCGUUAAUAUUAAGUAGAUGUAAAGAGCCUCGUAGACAAGGUCCCCUUACCUUUCACGCGGUAAUGAAAAGCGGAACAUCCACGCGCGCCGUCUCUUUCGAAGCAGCAAACAGGAUCGCUUUUAUCUCGUCGUGGUGUUUGAGAUAAAAUUUCUAUUCGGACCAGAUAAAGUCAUUCGAUACCGAAACGGUUUCUAAGCAGCAUCGUUACACUUUUUUACAAUUACAUUUGCAUAUCGUUCUUCAGUUUUCAAAUUUUUAAGUUUCAGUUUUUAAAUUAUCAAAGCCUUUUUCCACAUUUUUCAAAGAUGUAUCUUUCCGGAUUUCAAAUUAUAGAAGCGGGGAUAAAAUGUUAAUUAUUAGCAUGAAUUAAUUGACUUACCA